Molecule: transfer RNA, 62 nt
Filed under: Megascolecidae sp. BS2
Lineage: Eukaryota; Metazoa; Annelida; Clitellata; Crassiclitellata; Megascolecidae
Also listed under: 1 other name
Description: tRNA-Ala
Source: RNAcentral
UGUGACUUAGUUUAUUUAGAACUACCAACUUGCACUUGGUAAGUGAGACACCUCAGUGACGG